This 57-nucleotide transfer RNA is filed under the name Contracaecum osculatum. Its description in RNAcentral is "tRNA-Trp". Lineage: Eukaryota; Metazoa; Nematoda; Chromadorea; Rhabditida; Anisakidae. RNAcentral also lists the same sequence under 2 other names. The record is from RNAcentral.
ACAGAUUUAAGUUAAGUUUAAACUAUUGGUCUUCAAAACCAAAAAUGUUAUUCUGUA